Non-coding RNA from Phrynosoma platyrhinos (Desert horned lizard), 75 nucleotides. The record is from the annotation of a GenBank genome assembly. NCBI's taxonomy places the organism in Eukaryota, Metazoa, Chordata, Lepidosauria, Squamata, Phrynosomatidae.
GCCAGUGUGGUGUAGUGGUUGUUUGAGUGUUGGACUAGGACUCUGGAGACCAGGGUUCGAAUCCCUGCUCAGCCA